ACGGAGGAUCCAAGCGUUAUCCGGAUUUAUUGGGUUUAAAGGGUGCGUAGGCGGAUAAAUAAGUCAGUGGUGAAAGCCUGCAGCUUAACUGCAGAACUGCCAUUGAUACUGUUUAUCUUGAAUAUGGUUGAGGUGGGCGGAAUAUGACAUGUAGUGGUGAAAUACUUAGAUAUGUCAUAGAACACCGAUUGCGAAGGCAGCUCACUAAGCCAUGAUUGACGCUGAGGCACGAAAGCGUGGGUAGCAAACAGGAUUAGAUACCCUGGUAGUCCACGCCCUAAACUAUGAUCACUCGAUGUUGGCGAUACACUGUCAGCGUCUAAGGGAAACCAUUAAGUGAUCCACCUGGGGAGUACGACCGCAAGGUUG
Molecule: ribosomal RNA, 369 nt
Filed under: uncultured bacterium
Lineage: Bacteria
Description: bacterial SSU rRNA
Rfam family: Bacterial small subunit ribosomal RNA
Source: RNAcentral